UUUUCUCGAGGGGGAACCUGCGGAAGGAUCAUUACAGUAUUCUUUUGCCAGCGCUUAACUGCGCGGCGAAAAACCUUACACACAGUGUCUUUUUGAUACAGAACUCUUGCUUUGGUUUGGCCUAGAGAUAGGUUGGGCCAGAGGUUUAACAAAACACAAUUUAAUUAUUUUUACAGUUAGUCAAAUUUUGAAUUAAUCUUCAAAACUUUCAACAACGGAUCUCUUGGUUCUCGCAUCGAUGAAGAACGCAGCGAAAUGCGAUAAGUAAUAUGAAUUGCAGAUUUUCGUGAAUCAUCGAAUCUUUGAACGCACAUUGCGCCCUCUGGUAUUCCAGAGGGCAUGCCUGUUUGAGCGUCAUUUCUCUCUCAAACCCCCGGGUUUGGUAUUGAGUGAUACUCUUAGUCGGACUAGGCGUUUGCUUGAAAAGUAUUGGCAUGGGUAGUACUAGAUAGUGCUGUCGACCUCUCAAUGUAUUAGGUUUAUCCAACUCGUUGAAUGGUGUGGCGGGAUAUUUCUGGUAUUGUUGGCCCGGCCUUACAACAACCAAACAAGUUUGACCUCAAAUCAGGUAGGAAUACCCGCUGAACUUAAGCAUAUCAAUAGCGGAGGAA
This 611-nucleotide ribosomal RNA is filed under the name Debaryomyces hansenii. RNAcentral's name for it is "eukaryotic LSU rRNA". The stretch from base 204 to 357 matches the Rfam family "5.8S ribosomal RNA". Lineage: Eukaryota; Fungi; Ascomycota; Pichiomycetes; Serinales; Debaryomycetaceae. The record is from RNAcentral.